CCGCAGCUAACGCAUUAAGUGCCCCGCCUGGGGAGUACGGCCGCAAGGCUAAAACUCAAAGGAAUUGACGGGGGCCCGCACAAGCGGCGGAGCAUGCGGAUUAAUUCGAUGCAACGCGAAGAACCUUACCAAGGCUUGACAUGUUCUCGAUCGCCGUAGAGAUACGGUUUCCCCUUUGGGGCGGGUUCACAGGUGGUGCAUGGUUGUCGUCAGCUCGUGUCGUGAGAUGUUGGGUUAAGUCCCGCAACGAGCGCAACCCUCGUUCCAUGUUGCCAGCACUUCGGGUGGGGACUCAUGGGAGACUGCCGGGGUCAACUCGGAGGAAGGUGGGGACGACGUCAAAUCAUCAUGCCCCUUAUGUCUUGGGCUUCACGCAUGCUACAAUGGCCGGUACAAUGGGUUGCGAUACUGUGAGGUGGAGCUAAUCCCAAAAAGCCGGUCUCAGUUCGGAUUGGGGUCUGCAACUCGACCCCAUGAAGUCGGAGUCGCUAGUAAUCGCAGAUCAGCAACGCUGCGGUGAAUACGUUCCCGGGCCUUGUACACACCGCCCGUCAAGUCACGAAAGUCGGUAACACCCGAAGCCGGUGGCCUAACCC
This 596-nucleotide ribosomal RNA is filed under the name bacterium. Its description in RNAcentral is "bacterial SSU rRNA". It matches the Rfam family "Bacterial small subunit ribosomal RNA", at positions 846 to 1441 of the family's 1533-position model. The record is from RNAcentral.